Molecule: small nucleolar RNA, 197 nt
Filed under: Rhinolophus ferrumequinum (greater horseshoe bat)
Lineage: Eukaryota; Metazoa; Chordata; Mammalia; Chiroptera; Rhinolophidae
Description: Small nucleolar RNA U3 (ENSRFEG00010000010.1)
Rfam family: Small nucleolar RNA U3
About the family: Small nucleolar RNAs (snoRNAs) are involved in the processing and modification of rRNA in the nucleolus. There are two main classes of snoRNAs: the box C/D class, and the box H/ACA class.
Source: Rfam by way of RNAcentral
GAAUAUAUACCUGCUGUCUAAGAUGUUUUAGAUGUUUAAACGAUCAUAUAAAAUAUAGCUGUACCAUGAGGAAGCUAUGCAGUGUUCUCUCCUGAGCUUGAAGCCGGCUUUUGGUGGUGUGUCCGCAACUGCCUUUAGCCAUCAAUGAUUGUUCUCUUCCUGGGAGAAUAAGAGGGAGAGGACGCAGUCUGAGUGAU